GUGCCAGCAGCCGCGGUAAUACGAAGGGUGCAAGCGUUAAUCGGAAUAACUGGGCGUAAAGCGCGCGUAGGUGGUUAAUCAAGUUGGAUGUGAAAUCCCUGGGCUCAACCUAGGAACUGCAUCCAAAACUGGCUAACUAGAGUACAAUAGAGGUUAGUGGAAUUUCCUGUGUAGCGGUGAAAUGCGUAGAUAUAGGAAGGAACACCAGUGGCGAAGGCGGCUUGCUGGACUGUAACUGACGUUGAGGCUCGAAAGUGUGGGUAGCAAACAGGAUUAGAUACCCUGGUAGUCCACGCUGUAAACGAUGUCAACUAGCUGUUGGGAUCCUAGAGAUCUUAGUGGCGUAGCUAACGCGCUAAGUUGACCGCCUGGGGAGUACGGUCGCAAGAUUAAAACUCAAAUGAAUUGACGGGGGCCCGCACAAGCGGUGGAGCAUGUGGUUUAA
Molecule: ribosomal RNA, 445 nt
Filed under: uncultured bacterium
Lineage: Bacteria
Description: bacterial SSU rRNA
Rfam family: Bacterial small subunit ribosomal RNA
Source: RNAcentral